GCGGGGUCCCCGGGGGAGGCGCUCGAGGGUCGCGCGGCCUGGGGUUUCCCGCGCAGAGGAGCUCGGGCCGCAGCCCCCGGGCUGUGCGCGCCGCCCUUACUCGUUACGGGUUUGCCUUCCGCUCUCUCUGCAGCCAGGGAGCGAGAACAGCGCUCGGACUUGUGAGUGACGCUGCCACCUCGGGCUUGAGAGCAGAGCCGGCCAGGGCGUCAGUGCCCGCGGCCUUUCGUCCGGCCCCCCGGGUGCCAGGGGCGCGCCCCAGGGCGCGGUCCCACGGGGAGGGGCGUGGGGCACAGGCGCCCCGUAGGCCUGUCCGUCCGCCUCUCGGUCGGCCCCUCCCGGGCGCAGACACGUCCCAACCCGGAGGGGCUUUACGGUUCUCACACUCCGUGUUGCAAAAACGACCCUGACGAGACACGAGUGAUUUGUUGAAACAUACUUCUUAGUGUCACGGACUAACUGGAAUCUGCAAAGCCGCGUCUGGGGCUGCUGCACGCGAGCACAGUGUCGCCGCCGCCGGGGCCGUCCCGGGUCUCCCUCCGCGCCCUCAGAAUUCCUGCCUGCGUCUUCACGGCUUUGGCGAUAAACGUACACCUGGGAAACCCCCAUCACCAUCUAUGCCGUAAACCUUCCGAGAUUUCCUCCUGCCCCUUUAUUAUUUGAGAACACUUACCGCCUUCUUAGGAAAUCAAGGUGGCUAGCACAGAAAACACGGAGGCCCCUCCACUCCAGACAUUGGCGAAGGCCUAAAGUAGAAACUAUCUACUGUGAAGCUGAUGAAGCUGAAGUCUCAAGGCCCCUCACAGGCACAGUCUCUUCCAGUAUGAACCUGGAAAUGUGAUCACAUGGUCAUGUGUUUCUGUGAAAUUUAUACAAGGAAAUGUUUUAAGUGCAAUGGAUAAAUAUCACAAUUUCUUUCCAUUUGAUUCCCACCCCACCCCCCAGUAUCAUACUUCUCAACUUAGUAGUUGUUGGAUUUAUUGGGGGACAUUUUGGCAUCUUCCAGGGAAUUUGAGUAGGAAAUAUAUUUAGUUUAGAUUUAGUGAGGUAUAUUUAUAUGGUCGUAUCUUCAAAAUUUAGUUAUUGCUUAAUUUUAUUUAUUUAUUUAUUUAUGAUAGUAAUACACAGAGAGAGAGAGAGAGGCAGAGACACAGGCAGAGGGAAAAGCAGGCUCCAUGCACCGGGAGCCCGACGUGGGAUUCGAUCCUGGGUCUCCAGGAUCGUGCCCUGGGCCAAAGGCAGGCGCCAAACCGCUGCACCACCCAGGGAUCCCUAGUUAUUGCUUAAAUUCCAGUUUGUCUAUUGUGCAGCUCAUUAAGCAUUAUAUCGAAGAUGCAAGACCAGAGGUCCUAUUAAGAUAUAAACAGAUCCCAAGACCCCUGACACUGAAAAUAUGCGGAUAGUAGAAGAGAAACAAGAUUUAAAAUGUACAAUAGCAAAAGGGGACUAUGGAAAAUUAUUCCAGGCAUCCAAAGACAAAACACAAGAGGAAGAAUCCCUUCUAAUUGAUGUAAUUUUUCUCAUAGCAGUAAUACAUUCAAUAAUGCAGUACAGGGGUUCUUGGGUAGCUCAGUAGGUUGAUCCUGGGGUCAUAGGGAUCCCUGUUCAGCAUGGGAAUCUGUUUCUUCCUCUCCUCCUGCCCUCCCCAACACCCCAACCUGCUCCUGCUCGCUUGUGCUCUCUUGAAUAAAUAAAAUCU
Molecule: long non-coding RNA, 1699 nt
Organism: Canis lupus familiaris (dog)
Lineage: Eukaryota; Metazoa; Chordata; Mammalia; Carnivora; Canidae
Exons: 3
Source: RefSeq, a predicted model, not a curated record